This 492-nucleotide ribosomal RNA is filed under the name uncultured bacterium. Its description in RNAcentral is "partial 16S ribosomal RNA". It matches the Rfam family "Bacterial small subunit ribosomal RNA", at positions 29 to 507 of the family's 1533-position model. The record is from RNAcentral.
AGUGAACGCUGGCGGUAGGCCUAACACAUGCAAGUCGAACGGCAGCACAGUAAGAGCUUGCUCUUACGGGUGGCGAGUGGCGGACGGGUGAGUAAUACAUCGGAAUCUACUUUUUCGUGGGGGUUAACGUAGGGAAACUUACGCUAAUACCGCAUACGACCUACGGGUGAAAUCAUGGGAUCUUCGGACCUUUCGCGAUUGAAUGAGCCGAUGUCGGAUUAGCUAGUUGGCGGGGUAAAGGCCCACCAAGGCGACGAUCCGUAGCUGGUCUGAGAGGAUGAUCAGAGAAACGGGAACUGAGACAGGGACAAGACGCCUACGGGAGGCAGCAGUGGGGAAUAUUGGACAAUGGGCGCAAGCCUGAUACAGCCAUACCGCGUGGGUGAAGAAGGCCUUCGGGUUGUAAAGACCUUUUGUUGGGAAAGAAAAGCAGCAGGUUAAUACCCCGCUGUAGUGACGGUAACCAAAGAAUAAGCACCGGCUAACUUCGUG